GACGAAGGAUGCAAGCGUUAUCCGGAUUCAUUGGGUUUAAAGGGAGCGUAGGCGGACUUAUAAGUCAGUGGUGAAAUCUCCGAGCUUAACUCGGAAACUGCCAUUGAUACUGUAAGUCUAGAGUACAGUUGCCGUUGGCGGAAUAUGACAUGUAGUGGUGAAAUACUUAGAUAUGUCAUAGAACACCGAUUGCGAAGGCAGCUAACGAAGCUGUAACUGACGCUGAGGAGCGAAAGCGUGGGGAGCGAACAGG
This 253-nucleotide ribosomal RNA is filed under the name uncultured bacterium. RNAcentral's name for it is "partial 16S ribosomal RNA". It matches the Rfam family "Bacterial small subunit ribosomal RNA", at positions 524 to 776 of the family's 1533-position model. The record is from RNAcentral.